Molecule: non-coding RNA, 440 nt
Organism: Oncorhynchus mykiss (rainbow trout)
Lineage: Eukaryota; Metazoa; Chordata; Actinopteri; Salmoniformes; Salmonidae
Source: RefSeq, a predicted model, not a curated record
GGCAGGAGAAGUUUGGGCUUGGACAUGUCCACGGGGGAAAUAGCCACCAGCUCUCUGGGAAGCCUGAGCUCAGUGGAUAUGAACACACCUGCUGAGCUCCGUGACUACUUGGAUGUUGGGACCCCGGUCAAGUUGCGUGACAGCCCACCCAGGCCUGCUCCCCCUCCUACCAAGCCCAGGAGCAAACUGCCUCGGCCUAUAAGGUUCCUCAGCCUGCCAAAGGCUGCCACCGGCUCAGGGAGAAGAAGAUCGAGGGCUUGACCUCUCUCCGUGUGAUGGCUCAGAACCACAUGGACAUACUGAUGCCUAAACUCCAUGAUAUCUGCCUUGCCAUUAUAAAUGAGGUGAAGAACCUGCGCUCUGCAGUGUCCUGUGCUGCCAUGGCCACACUGGGUGACAUGUACGUUCACCUCCAGAGGGCCAUGGACAGUGAGGUGGAG